UUGAGGUCCCUUCGAAUGCACUCCUGUUUGAACGAUGACAGUCUUGUCACAUUUGCAAAGGCAACCCAAAAUGGCCAUUUCCUUGGACUUCAUAAACUCAUUAUAGACUGCAGCAUCAACACCACAGAGAGAGGCUGGCAGGAAUUGUUCCACUGUCUGGGGCGCCUGAGUAACCUGGUGAAGGUGGACAUCUCCAGACCCGUGUCUCAUCUGAUGAAACCUUCUUCCCGUCUUGUCAUCACCUUUGUAAGGGCCAUCGCGCAGCUCCCCAGAAUCCAGCAUGUUCUUCUGCUGGGCUGGCUGCUGGACGAAAUGGACCGGAAGCUGUUUGAAGACAUGAAGAAGAGGCAUCCUCAGUCACAACACAUUAGUUUGACCUACAAGUUCCACGUUCAGCCAAAGAUUGUAGAGAGCGUUUGAGCUUUAGUUGGCAACACGUACCACAACUUAAACAACAGAAAUCCAUCCCCUUUCGACCAUCGCUUUCAGACGCUGUUGGCACAUGAUGAAGUACAGGUGUACUUGAAAUGAAAUGAGAUUUGUACUUGUACUAAUUAACUGCUGUCUCUGUGUUUUUCUAUUAUUGGAAAAUAAGACUGAAAAACCUCUAAAUAUAUUAAUAUUAAUUAUAUUUUCAUUUUCCUGAGCAAGGUCUGAAACAACUCCUUAAGCCUUGCAAUCUAACACUGACUGUUCUUGGAUCCUAUGGGGAAAUAGAAAGGGCAGAAGGGUCAUGAUCUGUUUUGUAACCAAGUGUAUUCUGUAAAAGGAUGUGAUGAACUGUCUCCAGUCAUUCGUCCUGCUCUCCUAAUAUGGACUAGCUGUAGAUUGCUGUAAUAUCUCUCGCUGUGCUGUUGUUACCGAGGGAGCUUGGUAAAGUCCCUGAUUAUCUCCAGCUGGCAGAAGAAAUAAAGCUGCAGACUGUU
This is a non-coding RNA of Lepisosteus oculatus (spotted gar), 926 nucleotides long. The record is from RefSeq and is a predicted model, not a curated record. NCBI's taxonomy places the organism in Eukaryota, Metazoa, Chordata, Actinopteri, Semionotiformes, Lepisosteidae.